CAUUAUACCGUGAAACUGCGAAUGGCUCAUUAAAUCAGUUAUCGUUUAUUUGAUAGUACCUUACUACUUGGAUAACCGUGGUAAUUCUAGAGCUAAUACAUGCUAAAAACCUCGACUUCGGGAGAGGUGUGUUUAUUAGAUAAAAAACCAAUGCCCUCCGGGGCUCCUUGGUGAUUCAUGAUAACUUCUCAGAUCGCAUGGCUACACGCCGGCGACGGUUCAUUCAAAUUUCUGCCCUAUCAACUUUCGAUGGUAAGGUAGUGGCUUACCAUGGUUUCAACGGGUAACGGGGAAUUAGGGUUCGAUUCCGGAGAGGGAGCCGGAGGAACGGCUACCACAUCCAAGGAAGGCAGCAGGCGCGCAAAUUACCCAAUGCCAAAUCGGCGAGGUAGCGACAAGAAAUACUGAUACAGGGCUCUUUUGGGUCUUGUAAUUGGAAUGAGUACAAUUUAAACCUCUUAACGAGGAACAAUUGGAGGGCAAGUCUGGUGCCAGCAGCCGCGGUAAUUCCAGCUCCAAUAGCGUAUAUAAAGUUGUUGCAGUUAAAAAGCUCGUAGUUGAACCUUUGGCCUGGCUGGCAGGUCCGCCUCACCGCGUGCACUUGCCCGGCCGGGCCUUUUCUUCUGGAGAACCGCAGGCCCUUCACUGGGUGUGUUGGGGACCAGGACUUUUACUUUGAAAAAAUUAGAGUGUUCAAAGCAGGCCUUUGCUCGAAUACGUUAGCAUGGAAUAAUAGAAUAGGACGUGCGGUCCUAUUUUGUUGGUUUCUAGGACCGCCGUAAUGAUUAAUAGGGACAGUCGUGGGCAUCAGUAUUCAAUUGUCAGAGGUGAAAUUCUUGGAUUUAUUGAAGACUAACUACUGCGAAAGCAUUUGCCAAGGAUGUUUUCAUUAAUCAGUGAACGAAAGUUAGGGGAUCGAAGACGAUCAGAUACCGUCGUAGUCUUAACCAUAAACUAUGCCGACUAGGGAUCGGGCGGUGUUUCUAUUGUGACCCGCUCGGCACCUUACGAGAAAUCAAA
RNAcentral lists this ribosomal RNA (1020 nucleotides) under Deniquelata sp. Its description in RNAcentral is "SSU rRNA". It matches the Rfam family "Eukaryotic small subunit ribosomal RNA", at positions 72 to 1102 of the family's 1831-position model. Lineage: Eukaryota; Fungi; Ascomycota; Dothideomycetes; Pleosporales; Didymosphaeriaceae. The record is from RNAcentral.